Molecule: ribosomal RNA, 590 nt
Filed under: crenarchaeote SCGC AAA003-O08
Lineage: Archaea; Thermoproteati; Thermoproteota
Description: SSU rRNA
Rfam family: Archaeal small subunit ribosomal RNA
Source: RNAcentral
GCACGACAAGGUUAAUCCGAGUGAUUUCUGCUAAAGAAAUCUUUUGCAAGUCAUAAAACCACUAGUGAAUAAGGGGUGGGCAAGUUCUGGUGUCAGCCGCCGCGGUAAAACCAGCACCUCAAGUGGUCAGGAGGAUUAUUGGGCCUAAAGCAUCCGUAGCCGGCUCUGUAAGUUUUCGGUUAAAUCCAUGUGCUCAACGCAUGGGCUGCCGAAAAUACUGCAUAGCUAGGGAGUGGGAGAGGUAGACGGUACUCAGUAGGAAGGGGUAAAAUCCUUUGAUCUAUUGAUGACCACCUGUGGCGAAGGCGGUCUACCAGAACACGUUCGACGGUGAGGGAUGAAAGCUGGGGGAGCAAACCGGAUUAGAUACCCGGGUAGUCCCAGCUGUAAACGAUGCAGACUCGAUGAUGCAUUGGCAUAUAGCCAGUGCAGUGUCGCAGGGAAGCCGUUAAGUCUGCCGCCUGGGAAGUACGUACGCAAGUAUGAAACUUAAAGGAAUUGGCGGGGGAGCACCACAAGGGGUGAAGCCUGCGGUUCAAUUGGAGUCAACGCCAGAAAUCUUACCCGGAGAGACAGCAGAAUGAAGGUCA